GACGAACGCUGGCGGCGUGCUUAACACAUGCAAGUCGAACGGAAAGGCCCUGCUUUUGUGGGGUGCUCGAGUGGCGAACGGGUGAGUAACACGUGAGUAACCUGCCCUUGACUUUGGGAUAACUUCAGGAAACUGGGGCUAAUACCGGAUAGGAGCUCCUGCUGCAUGGUGGGGGUUGGAAAGUUUCGGCGGUUGGGGAUGGACUCGCGGCUUAUCAGCUUGUUGGUGGGGUAGUGGCUUACCAAGGCUUUGACGGGUAGCCGGCCUGAGAGGGUGACCGGCCACAUUGGGACUGAGAUACGGCCCAGACUCCUACGUGAGGCAGCAGUGGGGAAUAUUGCACAAUGGGCGGAAGCCUGAUGCAGCAACGCCGCGUGCGGGAUGACGGCCUUUGGGUUGUAAACCGCUUUCGCCUGUGACGAAGCGUGAGUGACGGUAAUGGGUAAAGAAGCACCGGCUAACUACGUG
Molecule: ribosomal RNA, 468 nt
Filed under: uncultured bacterium
Lineage: Bacteria
Description: partial 16S ribosomal RNA
Rfam family: Bacterial small subunit ribosomal RNA
Source: RNAcentral